Molecule: ribosomal RNA, 253 nt
Filed under: uncultured bacterium
Lineage: Bacteria
Description: partial 16S ribosomal RNA
Rfam family: Bacterial small subunit ribosomal RNA
Source: RNAcentral
UACGUAGGGGCCGAGCGUUGUCCGGAAUUACUGGGCGUAAAGCGCGCGCAGGCGGCGUUCUAAGCCCGACGUGAAAGCCCCCGGCUCAACUGGGGAGGGUCAUUCGAUACUGUUCGACUCGAAGGCAGGAGAGAGAAGUGGAAUUCCCGGUGUAGUGGUGAAAUGCGUAGAUAUCGGGAGGAACACCAGUGGCGAAGGCGACUUCUUGGCCUGUUCUUGACGCUGAGGCGCGAAAGCUGGGGGAGCAAACGGG